Molecule: ribosomal RNA, 253 nt
Filed under: uncultured bacterium
Lineage: Bacteria
Description: partial 16S ribosomal RNA
Rfam family: Bacterial small subunit ribosomal RNA
Source: RNAcentral
UACGGGGGGGGCAAGCGUUGUUCGGAAUUACUGGGCGUAAAGAGCGUGUAGGCGGCCAGACAGGUCCGUUGUGAAAACUCGAGGCUCAACCUCGAGACGCCGAUGGAAACCGUCUGGCUAGAGUCCGGAAGAGGAGAGUGGAAUUCCUGGUGUAGCGGUGAAAUGCGCAGAUAUCAGGAAGAACACCCGUGGCUAAGGCGGCUCUCUAGUACGGUACUGACGCUGAGACGCGAAAGCGUGGGGAGCGAACAGG